AGUGAACGCUGGCGGCAGGCCUAACACAUGCAAGUCGAACGGAAGCACAGUAAGAGCUUGCUCCUACGGGUGGCGACUGGCGGGUGGGUGAGGAGUAGAUCGCCAUCUACUUUUUCUUGGGGGACAACGGGGGGACAGAUACGCUAAUAGAGCAUAUGAUGUACGGGUGGGAUCAGUGGAUCUUGGGGCCUUGCGUGAUUCAAUGAGACGAUGUCGGGUUAGCUAGUUGGGGGGGUAAAGGCACACCAAGGCGACGAUCCGUAGCUGGUCUGAGAGGAUGAUCAGCCACACUGGAACUGAGACACGGUCCAGACUCCUACGGGAGGCAGCAGUGGGGAAUAUUGGACAAUGGGCGAAAGCCUGAUCCAGCCAUGCCGCGUGAGUGAAGAAGGUCUUCGGAUUGUAAAGCCCUUUUAUUAGGGAAGAAAAGCAGUAAGUUAAUCCCUCGCUGUUUUGACGGUACCCAAAGAAUAAGCACCGGCUAACUUCGUG
RNAcentral lists this ribosomal RNA (492 nucleotides) under uncultured bacterium. Its description in RNAcentral is "partial 16S ribosomal RNA". It matches the Rfam family "Bacterial small subunit ribosomal RNA", at positions 29 to 507 of the family's 1533-position model. The record is from RNAcentral.